UGUCCAGGGAUGGGAACCGAACCCACAAUGUUCCGCUUACCAGGCAGAUGCCAUGUCCACUAGGUUCCCAUCCCUGGAC
RNAcentral lists this transfer RNA (79 nucleotides) under Cordylochernes scorpioides. RNAcentral's name for it is "tRNA-Thr". The record is from RNAcentral. Lineage: Eukaryota; Metazoa; Arthropoda; Arachnida; Pseudoscorpiones; Chernetidae.